Molecule: ribosomal RNA, 459 nt
Filed under: uncultured bacterium
Lineage: Bacteria
Description: partial 16S ribosomal RNA
Rfam family: Bacterial small subunit ribosomal RNA
Source: RNAcentral
CCUACGGGGAGCAGCAGUGAGGAAUAUUGGUCAAUGGGCGAGAGCCUGAACCAGCCAAGUCGCGUGAGGGAAGAAUGUCCUAUGGAUUGUAAACCUCUUUUGUCAGGGAGCAAAGUCACCCACGUGUGGGUGUUGGAGAGUACCUGAAGAAAAAGCAUCGGCUAACUCCGUGCCAGCAGCCGCGGUAAUACGGAGGAUGCGAGCGUUAUCCGGAUUUAUUGGGUUUAAAGGGUGCGUAGGCGGGUUAUCAAGUCAGCGGUAAAAUCGUGGAGCUCAACUCCAUCCAGCCGUUGAAACUGAUGAUCGUGAGUGGGCGAGAAGUAUGCGGAAUGCGUGGUGUAGCGGUGAAAUGCAUAGAUAUCACGCAGAACUCCGAUUGCGAAGGCAGCAUACCGGCGCCCGACUGACGCUGAAGCACGAAAGCGUGGGUAUCGAACAGGAUUAGAUACCCUGGUAGUC